Molecule: non-coding RNA, 6611 nt
Organism: Oryctolagus cuniculus (rabbit)
Lineage: Eukaryota; Metazoa; Chordata; Mammalia; Lagomorpha; Leporidae
Source: RefSeq, a predicted model, not a curated record
ACUGAAGCACUAACUCAGACCCUAACUGCUCCAUUUCUAAUCUAACUCCCUGCUAAUGAGCCUGAGAAAGCAGCAAAAGAUGGCCUAAGUACUUAGGCCCCUGCCACCCAUGUGGGAGACCUGGAUGGCAUUUCAGGCUCCCUACUUCAUCCUGGCCAAACCCUGGCAUUGUAGCCAUUUGAGGAGUGAUCAGCAGAUGGAAGAGUCUUUGUGUCUCUCCUCUCUCUGUCAUUUCACCUUUCAAAUAGAGUUGGAAAAUCUCCAGAAGGUCUGUCAACUGCUUGUUCUGGCCUGAGGUGUGGCGAGAUGUUUUGUCAUUGAUGGGAUCCCUCCAAUGGGCACCACGGUGAUGGACAGAUUGGGCUCACUGAAAGGGCCGUGGAGCUGUUCUACUUCUUCAGCUGGGCGGGGGUGGGCUCACCAGCACAUCUGUCCACUGAAGAGGCUGCGGCAUACAAGCAAAGGGUCUUCUACCAACUCAAAGUGAUAUCCCUCACAGCCUGUCUACCUCAUUCAGCUGCCCUUGAGACCUGGUUUCUGGCAUCCUGGAUUUGUUGUGGGAAGAUGUUGUAUUCUAGGUUCUUACCCUCAUGGGAGAUAAAAAUUCAAAGCAGAGACAUAAAUCAAGUGCAAGAAUGGGAGUAUGAUUUAUUCAUUUAUUUAGAGUACACAUUCAGAAAUGAGUGCAGGCAACCACGUGAGGAGAGCUGCAAGCAGUCAGGAGAAUCUUCCUAUGAGAAGAGGGAGUGGGAGAGAGAGAGAGAGAGAGCGAGAGAGAGAGAGAGAGAAAACUCUGUCUCUGAAAGAACAGAGUGACCCCACAAUUAGUAGAGCCCUCCACUGUGUAAGGGGUGGUGCCCUAAUUGGAUAUCAAGUCAUAUGUGAUCUUGUUUUCCUCAACUUUGGAAUAUUCCAGGUCUUUGGAAACCCCUCUUUCUUUUGCAUCUUUCUCUGCUACUCUGUGGAAUAUGCCUACAACGUGCCCUUCCCACCUGCUCUUCCCCUAGUCCUCAGUAAAAGCUUAGUUGAGAUACUGACAGUUGAACCUUUCUCUAAUACAAACAGGGCUAGAGCUGUUGGCUGAGAGAGAACCCCUUUCUUCCUUUUACUUUUUAUUUGAUUUCAUUUCUAAACUUUUGCUUUUCUAAUAUAUUCCUUUAUAUUUGACAGAUGGAUCUUCCAUAGUAAAAUCUCUUGAAUGAGUUAAAUACCAGUAUGCUAAAAGCUUCCAUCAUUUAAAUAAAUAUUCAAUAUAUUCAACAAGUAUACAUAUAUAUUUAAUAUUUUAUUUAUUUAUCUGAAGGGAGAGAGAAAUUGAGACAGAAAGAGAGAAAUUCCAUUUGCUGGUUCACUUCCAAAUGCCUACAAUGGACAGGGCUAGGCCUCUGCCAAAUUUGGGAGCAGGGAACAUAAACUGGAAUUCUAGCACAUGAUGUCAGGGACCCAUCUGCUUGAGCCAUCACUUGAUGCCUUGCAGGGUCUCCUGAUUCAAGAAGUUGGAGUCAGGAGCCAUGGCUGAGAAUCAAACCCAGGCUCUAUAAUGUGGGACAUGGGCACCUCAGCCAUGAAGACUAAACACUUGAUGGCUUCAACAAGCAUCUUUCAAAUCUCUGCUAAGUACAGACAAUUUUGUUUGCUCUGGGUAAUUAAUGGAGCAAAGGAAAAGUGCCUUUGUCUUCACCAAAAAAAAAAAAAAAAAAAAAAAGCUCAAAAGCACAUAUGCCAUUGGAGGGAGGUGGAUAGGCAGCACACACUGGUGAACAUAAAUCUGUCAGAUCAUGAAAAGAGCCAUGAAGUGAAGCAAAAGCAGAAAGUUAAAAUGACUGUGCCUGGAGGUUGGGUGGGUUGUUGUACUUUAAAAUGGGCUGCUGUCAUGGCAUAGCUGGUUAACCAUCGCCCACAAACCUGACAUCCCAUUUGGGUGCCAUUCCAGUUCCAGCUGCUCCACUAUGAAUCCAUCUUCCUGCUAAUGGCCUGGGAAAAGCAGUGGAAGAUAGCUCAAGUUUUUGGGCCCCUGCCACCCAUGUGAGAGACCUGGAUGAAGCUCUUGGCCCUGGCUUCAGCCUGGCCCAGCCCCAGCCAUUCAGCCACCUGGGGAGUGAACCAGUAGAUGGAAGAUAUCUUGAUCUCUAUCUCUCUCUCACCUCUCUCCCCUUACCCCUCUCUCUUCCUCUCCUUCUCUCUGUUAACUCUGACUUUUAAAUAAAUGAAUCUUAAGAAAAUAAAAUAAGAUGGUCUGGGAAGGCCUGGCUGAAAAGGAAACAUUUGUGCAGUGGCCUCAGGAGGUAGAGGAAGAGUGAUGCAAAUAUCUGGGGAAGAGUGUAUGCAGUAAGGCGCACAACAAGAGUAAAACCCUGCAAAAAAGGGUAUGUAAGAACACAGAGACUGCAGUAGGACUGUAGUGUGCAAGAGAGGGGAAAAACAGGAAGAGACUUAGGAUGAUCUGAGGACUUGAGUUUCAUUCUAAGUGAAAAGAAAGCUAUGAGCAAAACAGUGACUAGAGAAUCUCUCAUGUGAGACAAAGGUUGAGCCCAGACCUGGUCUUAACCUGUACAUUAUUCUGUCUGGUUCCCCUUUACUAUGGCUCAUCUCUGAUAUGUUUUUCCUAGGUGCCUGAUUCCCUGACUUUAUAGAGCAGUUUCACUACUCAAAUCUAUCCAGAUUUUCUGUAAAAAUAGAUAAAGCUCUCCUGUCCUUCAUAGGGCAGUUAUUGAAUUGCUUUUACUAUGGACUUCAUUACCUGUGACUUGGAGUUAAAAUAGAUUCCUGGGUUCUGUUCAUUUCUUGAGGAAUCAUUGCAGAUUCUGACUGAUAGAAUGCAUCUCUUCAUCCAAAAUAUUUGUCUGGGUCCUGGUAACUUUUUUUCACCAACUUAUAAGUCAUCUCUUUUUGUUUCUAGGGCACUAUCUCAGAGACGUUUGGCUUAGUAUUACUUUCCCUUUGGUUUUCAGGAUCUCAUUUUUUUUUUUUUGCAUCUAUCUAAUCUAUGUCCUAAUACCUUAAACUAUAUCCUAUGAAAACAUCUCUCUCCAGCCAAGUCAGUUUGUCUUCCCUUGCUGCUUUCUCAGAGCCCACUGAGACUACAACCUGGAUUAUGGAGUCUCUCAGUCACCUUCUGAAAUUUAUAUGAUUUCUGACACCAGCUCUAAGAUGUUAGGUAAUUAUUAAGAAUAGCUGAUCUCAUAAAAUCUGAACUUUUACUCAAGAACAAGAUUGGUCAUUGUCACCCUAUUAGAACAAUGAAAAUAACAGAACUCAGGUUUAGCACAAACCUAUGUAGGCAUUUCUUUAUUGGGUGAAAUCUUUGAAGGGUGGUUGGAGAAAAAAUAAAGUUUCCCUAGAAAUAAUCUCCUUUAAGAACAAGGAAGCAAUAUUUUACCGGCCUGAACUGCCAAAACUCAUUUUUAUAGAAUCAAAUCCAUGAAGAAAUGGCUAUGGUGCAUGUAAUCUUGCGAGUGUUAGAAUUUGCACUUGGUCCCUCUAGUUACCUGAGCUGUGUGAAAAAUUUUUAAAAAAGCCCGUUGUCAGCCCAUUUAUCCUUGGCUACUCAAAAGUAUUAUUACUCUACUUUAAAAAGAGAUUCCAGUUAUGGCCAUCCUAAAUGGUAGAGUUUGAGGACAUACUAAGCUAUUUAACCUCAAGCUUUUUUCCUAUCCUGCCACUCUGCUUUGAUUCUGUUGUGCAAUAAAUGAACCUACUUUGAAGAGUCUACCAUUAGACUCUAUUUCUGAAGUGUAUAGGUACACCUUGGGUUCCUUUUGGCUUGUUAGCAGGCAAUUCUGCCAAUAUUCUUACCUGGAGAGAAUUUUCAGUUGCCUCAAUUUCACUUGGGGCAGAGCAUCCAGAGUUAGUUCCCAGAGGACCAUGAAUCAUGUAUCAUCAGCAAUAUGUAGGGUGAGAUUGAUUGAUUGAUUAAAAGUAUAUUUGAAUUGGCUGAAUGCACAAACUCAUUCACAACAGGAUAUUCAUUCAAAAAUGUUUACUGAACAGCUACUCUAUUUCAGGAACUAUUUUAGUCAGUUUACUGUGAUAAACCAAAGCCUAAAAAUAUGUCACAACUCUUGACAGGCAAACAAAUCAAUGCUCCCCAGUGAUUAGGGUCACUUCCCACUUUGGAUGUCUGUUAUUUAAUUGCCUAGGGUGGGCUCUGGUGAUCUAACUGAACAUCUGAAUCUUUCACUUAAUCUUCCAUUAUAUUUGUAGUCAUAGCAUCAACCAAGCAACUGGAAAAACAGGUGUUAGUAAGAACAUCCAUGCAAUACAAACUAUUAUGUAUAUGGGCGAGGUUCUUGAUAAAUGGCCAUUUCAGCAAUGGGAAUAGAACCACAAAAACACAUCCUUUUGGAGUUAGAAUGGAUUUUAGAUAUCCUAAAACCCAACCGCUGAUGUGAUCCAAGAACUACAAAAUGAUCUACUAAUUCAUUCACAAUGUAAUAAUUUACUCGAACUGUUAAUUUACUACUGGACAAAAAGAAAUGUGAUAGCCACUGAAGAUACAACAAUGAAACGGAUAGAGUUAGCUGCUAGCCUCAUUGAAGGCAUAUGUUAAAGAGUAAGCAUUAGGCAGCUUGUUACAUGGUAUCAUUUAAUUGCAUUGAAGUACAGAUUGUUGUUUUAGUCUAGGGGUUAAGAAGCCUGUGUCCCUCAUCCAGGUGCCUAGAUUUUACUCCUGGCUCUGGCUCCUGACUCCAGGUUCCUGCCAAUGCAGACUCUGGGAGGCAGAGUUGAAUAUUCAAGUAAUAAGGUUCCUGCCACUCAUGUGGGAGACCUGGAUUGAAUUCUUGGUUCUGAGCUUCAGCCUGGCCCAGUCCUGGCUAUUUUGGGAGCAGAUGGGACCUCUUUCCUUUGUCUAUUUCUUAAAUAAAUAAAUAAACAGAUAAAAAGGAAUUCAAGGGGUCCCCAAUAUAGAGAAUGACUCAGGAUGAAGUCAGUGGAGUAGGUCAGAAUCCCAUUAUGCAAGAUUUUCUGCAUCCGGUUAAAUACAUUGAUUGUCAUUCUAAUUGCGAUGUUAACUUAUUUAAGGAGUGUAACAGGUAAAUGAUAUGGCUUCUUUUCUCAGUUACUUUUACUUCUAUACAUACUUUUUUCUAUGUACACUGUUCUCAGGAAAGCUUUGGUGAACAGAGCAAAGACUUCAGACCCUGGCUUUUGAGCUCCUAUGUGGACUUUUACGUUAUUAUUAAUUGUUAUUACUAUUGGGCUUAAAACGCAUAACAUAAAAUGUAGUAUUUAAACCAUUUCUUUAGUUGAAAGACAAAGAGAGGGACAGAUAGUUACAUACACACACAACACACACACACACACACACACACAGAUCUUUUGUCAGCUAGAUCACACCCCAAAAGCCUGCAACAGUCAAGGUUGUAACCCUGGAACUAAAUCCAGGUCUCACACAUGAGUGGUAGGAACCCAAGUACAUCAUCUAUCUGCCUUCCAAUGUGCAUAUUUAGCAGGAAGCUGGAGUUGGAAGUAGAACUGGGACUUAUACCCAGGCUCUCUAAUACAGAAUUCAAGUGUUUCAAAUGGCAUCUUAAUUGCUAUGUCAAACUCUCUCCCUUAUCUUAAACCACUGUUAACUACAUUAAUUUUUGUAAAUGUAGUUAGGGAAGCCAUGGUUUUCAACUCAAGGCCAGCAACUUAAGGAAAUAAAAGAUUUUGACUGGAAAUAAAAAGUGAAAAUCUGAAAAAAGGAAGCACAAAAUGUAUCUAUUAAUCAUCCAUUGAUAAGAAUCUACUCAAUGUGUGAGAAUGAGUUCGAAUCAAAAGGGAAUAACAACAUCUUUGAUUAGCAAGAAUGAGGAAAUCAGGAAAGGAAGCAGGUAAGGUUUAAAAGCAGUGGGAAAGAGAGAGAAAGAGGAAGGAGAGAGAGAAACAAGGAAAGAAGGAAGGACCGAAGGAAGAAAGGAACAGAGGAAGGAAAAUAUCAUUACACUCUUAGAAUUUUAUCUAUAAACUAUAUGGAAUCUGCUGUCUUUGUUUUAAUACUACAAUAACAUAAGGAUUGAUGAGAAUUGUGUUGUAGUAAUUAUAUGUUUGCUAUGACCCCAAGAAUCUAAUUUUUUUAUUGGAAAGGCAGAGUUACACAGAGGCAGAGAGAGAGAGAGAGAGAGAAAGUCAUCCAUCUGCUGGUUCACUCCCCAGAUGGCACAAUGGCUGGAGCUGGGCUGAUCCAAAGCCAGAAGCCAGGAGCUUCUUCCUCAUUCUCCCACAGAGGUAUGGGGCCCUAAGGACUUGGGUCAUUUUCUACUGCUUUCCCAGACCAUAGCAGAGAGCUGUAUCAGAAGUAGAGCAGCUGGAACUUGAACUGGCACCCAUAUGGGAUGCCGGCACUGCAGGUGGUGGCUUUACCCACCAUGCCACAGCGCCAGCCCCAAGAAUCAAAUGUAUUAAUGCAUUCCUUAAAAAUAAAAUAAAUAAAUAAAAUAAUAAUAACUAAAUAUUAAUAAAUAUUCAUGUGUAUCUGUGUGGGUGCUAACUGUUGAAAUCUUUACUUAGUAUAUACCAAGUUGAUCUUAUGUAUAUAAAGAUAAUUGAAAAUGAAUUUUGAUGAAGAAUGGGAUGGGAGAGGAGUGGGAGAUGGGAUGGUUGUGGAUGGUUGUGGUUGAGGGAGA